UAGAGUUUGAUCCUGGCUCAGGACGAACGCUGGCGGCGUGCUUAACACAUGCAAGUCAAGGAGAAAGUCAUCUUCGGAUGGCAAGUAAACUGGCGAACGGGUGAGUAACACGUAGGUAAUCUGCCCCAGAGAUUGGGAUAACUCGGCGAAAGCCGGACUAAUACCGAAUAAUGCAACGAAUCCUUCGGGAUAUGUUGUUAAAGCGGGCUUCGGCUCGUACUUUGGGAUGAGCCUGCGUCCGAUUAGUUAGUUGGUAGGGUAAUGGCCUACCAAGACGAUGAUCGGUAGCUGGUCUGAGAGGAUGAUCAGCCACACUGGGAUUGAGAUACGGCCCAGACUCCUACGGGAGGCAGCAGUGGGGAAUUUUGCGCAAUGGACGAAAGUCUGAAGGAGCGAUGCCGCGUGACCGAUGAAGUUCUUAGGGAUGUAAAGGUCUUUUCUCAAGGAAGAAACUAUGACGGUACUUGAGGAAUAAGGGGUUGCUAACUCUGUGCCAGCAGCAGCGGUAAUACAGAGACCCCGAGCGUUAUCCGGAUUUAUUGGGCGUAAAGCGUGCGCAGACGGUUUUUUAAGUCUGUGGUUAAAUCCUGGUGCUUAACACCAGAAUCGCCAUGGAAACUGAUAAACUAGAGGUUGGAAGAGGUCAGCGGAAUUGCCGGUGUAACGGUCAAAUGUGUUAAUAUCGGCAAGAACACCAGAUGCGAAAGCGGCUGGCUAGUACACACCUGACGUUGUUGCACGAAAGCGUGGGUAGCGAAUGGGAUUAGAUACCCCAGUAGUCCACGCCGUAAACGAUGAGUACUAGUCAUUGGCAGUAUCGACCCUGUCAGUGGCGUUUAAAAUAGCUAACGCGUUAAGUACUCCGCCUGGGAAGUACGGUCGCAAGACUAAAACUCAAAGGAAUUGACGGGGACCCGCACAAGCGGUGGAGCAUGUGGUUUAAUUCGACGAUACGCGAAGAACCUUACCUGGCCUUGACAUAGAAAGAAUUUAGCAGAGAUGUAAAAGUGCUAGUUUACUAGAGCUUUCAUACAGGUGCUGCACGGCUGUCGUCAGCUCGUGUCGUGAGAUGUUAGGUUAAGUCCUGCAACGAGCGCAACCCUCGUGUUUAGUUACUAACAGUUCGGCUGAGGACUCUAGACAUACUGCCUGGGCAACCAGGAGGAAGGUGAGGACGACGUCAAGUCAUCAUGGCCCUUACGGCCAGGGCUACACACGUGCUACAAUGGGGUAUACAAAGAGCCGCAAUACCGCGAGGUGGAGCAAAUCUCAUAAAAUAUCUCCCAGUUCGGAUUACACUCUGCAACUCGAGUGUAUGAAGUUGGAAUCGCUAGUAAUCGUAGAUCAGCAAUGCUACGGUGAAUACNUUCCCGGGUCUUGUACUCACCGCCCGUCACACCAUGGGAGUUGAAUUCAUUCGAAGCGGGGAUGCUAAAAUAGCUACCUUCCACAGUGGAUUUAGUAAUUAGGGUGAAGUCGUAACAAGGUAACCA
RNAcentral lists this ribosomal RNA (1493 nucleotides) under uncultured bacterium. RNAcentral's name for it is "partial 16S ribosomal RNA". It matches the Rfam family "Bacterial small subunit ribosomal RNA". The record is from RNAcentral.